Molecule: ribosomal RNA, 258 nt
Filed under: uncultured Leptotrichia sp.
Lineage: Bacteria; Fusobacteriati; Fusobacteriota; Fusobacteriia; Fusobacteriales; Leptotrichiaceae
Description: partial 16S ribosomal RNA
Rfam family: Bacterial small subunit ribosomal RNA
Source: RNAcentral
GGCGGACGGGUGAGUAACGCGUAAAGAACUUGCCCUUUAGACUGGGGUAACAGAGGGAAACUUCUGAUAAUACUGGAUAAGUUAGUAUAUCGCAUGAUAUGCAAAUGAAAGCUACGGCACUAAAGGAGAGCUUUGCGUCCUAUUAGCUAGUUGGUAAGGUAAGAGCUUACCAAGGCGAUGAUAGGUAGCCGGCCUGAGAGGGUGGACGGCCACAAGGGGACUGAGAUACGGCCCUUACUCCUACGGGAGGCAGCAGCG